GAUGAAGAACGUAGCGAAAUGCGAUAAGUAAUGUGAAUUGCAGAAUUCAGUGAAUCAUCGAAUCUUUGAACGCACAUUGCGCCCGCUAGUAUUCUGGCGGGCAUGCCUGUCCGAGCGUCAUUUCAACCCUCAAGCCCCCGGGCUUGGUGUUGGGGAUCGGCGAGCCUCCGCGCCCGCCGUCCCCUAAAUCUAGUGGCGGUCUCGCUGUAGCUUCCUCUGCGUAGUAGCACACCUCGCGACUGGAGAGCGGCGCGGCCACGCCGUAAAACACCCAACUCUUCUGAAGUUGACCUCGAAUCAGGUAGGAAUACCCGCUGAACUUAAGCAUAUCAAUAAGCGGAGGA
RNAcentral lists this unclassified non-coding RNA (344 nucleotides) under soil metagenome. RNAcentral describes it as "partial contains 5.8S ribosomal RNA, internal transcribed spacer 2, and large subunit ribosomal RNA". The stretch from base 1 to 120 matches the Rfam family "5.8S ribosomal RNA", at positions 35 to 154 of the family's 154-position model. The record is from RNAcentral.